Molecule: unclassified non-coding RNA, 323 nt
Filed under: Hevea brasiliensis (rubber tree)
Lineage: Eukaryota; Viridiplantae; Streptophyta; Magnoliopsida; Malpighiales; Euphorbiaceae
Source: RNAcentral
GCGUGGGGUGUUGUGUGUGGGUUGUUGGUUAAGGGACAAUGAAAUAUGAGAUUUAGGAACAAUUAUGUCAUGGGGUAACUAAUUAUGUUAUGGGGUAGAAAUUUUGAAUGGGAUAUAUGGCAAAUGGGAUUUAGGAAGCCUUAACACUUUAAUUAAGCAUGCCCAGAUGGGCCAUUUUUUGCUACCGACAAGAAUAAUAAUCCUAUAGAUACCUUGAUGCCCUUCUUAUCAAACAAUUAUAUCAAAUCAAGGAGAGAUGUAAGUCACGGUUGCUUUAAAUUUUAAUUUUUAAUCGAAAGUAUGUUAAAUAUAAUCAGGCUUUA